RNAcentral lists this small nuclear RNA (172 nucleotides) under Canis lupus familiaris (dog). RNAcentral describes it as "U4 spliceosomal RNA (multiple genes)". The stretch from base 1 to 111 matches the Rfam family "U4 spliceosomal RNA". Rfam says of the family: U4 small nuclear RNA (U4 snRNA) is a component of the major U2-dependent spliceosome. The structure of U4 snRNA from yeast and human has been reported. The record is from RNAcentral. Lineage: Eukaryota; Metazoa; Chordata; Mammalia; Carnivora; Canidae.
AGCUUUGCACAGUGGCAGUUAUCAUAGCCAAUGAGAUUUAUCCGAGGCAUGAUUAUUGCUAAUUGAAAAUUUAUCUUUAUAUACAUAGAAAAAUCACUGGAAGAUAUGCUACACAGUUUUAAUAGCAUCUUCUUAUCUCUGGAUAGUGGAAUUUUGGGUGAUUGUUUCCUGU